This 346-nucleotide long non-coding RNA is filed under the name Vigna radiata. RNAcentral describes it as "long non-coding RNA (VRAD_LNC017120)". Lineage: Eukaryota; Viridiplantae; Streptophyta; Magnoliopsida; Fabales; Fabaceae. The record is from RNAcentral.
UGUUUCACUCAAUCAUUUAAAAGUGUAUGGUGUGGUGUUUCUCUCUAUUGCUACAGUGUCACAUAAAUUAAUUUUGCCUUUUAUUUACCCAUAAUCAAACAUACUCACAAACAGGUUGUCAUCACAAGGGCUUUUCAUGGCUUGUAACUUGGCUGGGCUAAGAAGGAAAUUGGUUUUUCUGGUCAGCAAAGUUCCUUGAGUUAAGAGAGAAUUUGUGAAUUUUUUUCUUUUAAGAACAACUCUGUUAUCUUUUUCCCAGCCUUCCCUUGCAGUGAGCUCUUUCUUUUUCUUCUUUGAAUCUUUCUUUCUCACUUUUUCUUCUUUUACCUUUUUCUGCUUUUUCUUG